UACGGGGGGGGCAAGCGUUGUCCGGAAUUACUGGGCGUAAAGAGCUCGUAGGUGGUUUGUCGCGUUGUUCGUGAAAACUCACAACUCAAUUGUGGGCGUGCGGGCGAUACGGGCAGACUGGAGUACUGCAGGGGAGACUGGAAUUCCUGGUGUAGCGGUGGAAUGCGCAGAUAUCAGGAGGAACACCGGUGGCGAAGGCGGGUCUCUGGGCCGAUACUGACGCUGAGGAGCGAAAGCGUGGGGAGCAAACAGG
This 253-nucleotide ribosomal RNA is filed under the name uncultured bacterium. RNAcentral describes it as "partial 16S ribosomal RNA". It matches the Rfam family "Bacterial small subunit ribosomal RNA", at positions 524 to 776 of the family's 1533-position model. The record is from RNAcentral.